Molecule: unclassified non-coding RNA, 116 nt
Organism: Callithrix jacchus (white-tufted-ear marmoset)
Lineage: Eukaryota; Metazoa; Chordata; Mammalia; Primates; Cebidae
Rfam family: Metazoan signal recognition particle RNA
About the family: The signal recognition particle (SRP) is a universally conserved ribonucleoprotein.
Source: Ensembl
GCCGGGCAUGGUGGCUCAUGCCUGUAAUCCAAGCACUUUGGAGGCCAAGGUGGGUGGAUCACCUGAGGUCAGGAGUUCAAGACCAUCCUGACCAACAUGGUAAAACCCCGUCUUAU